GAUUCGCACUUUGGCGACGCUGUGUGGCGGUGUUUGGUGACUCACUAUGUGACAAGCGUGCACCACAUCCCCGUGGCCGGGCAGCACGUCGCCCCACAUGACGAACCAGCAGCAGACGGAGGGAUGCGAGCUGAUCCCUGCCGGGCCGCCGUCCUCGCGCGGGAGAAUCUCAUCGCCACAGUGUGAAUGGGUAAGAAGUGAAUACACAGUUCAAUGAGCCGAAUUAAUUUAUUUUCUCCACCAGACGCUCGAGGAAAUUUACGAGCCGGUCCAGCCGCUCGUUGAUCCCCGCGAUCCCCCUGAUGAUUUCUUCCUGCGAUUGCAGGACCCCCUCCGCGAGGACCCUUCCACUGCGUCCGGGUGGUCCAGCGGAAGCGCCGCGGCUGGUGGACGCUCCACCGCUUGUCGGUGCGCUGAUGCUGAUGCUGAUGCUGGUGCUGGGGCCGGGGGCCGGGGUGGCCCGAAUGCCGCUGGUCCUGGCCGACGACUCCGAGCCGGCGGACGGGCUGCCGCGGGCCGGGGUUCCGCAAGCCGGCGACACGGCCGACACAUUGAUUUCUGUGACACAAUAAAAAUAUUAGUUCAUUUCAAUUCCUG
Molecule: non-coding RNA, 597 nt
Organism: Xyrichtys novacula (pearly razorfish)
Lineage: Eukaryota; Metazoa; Chordata; Actinopteri; Labriformes; Labridae
Source: the annotation of a GenBank genome assembly